GAUAAACGCUGGCGGCGUGCCUAAUACAUGCAAGUCGAGCGAACAGACGAGGAGCUUGCUCCUCUGAUGUUAGCGGCGGACGGGUGAGUAACACGUGGAUAACCUACCUAUAAGACUGGGAUAACUUCGGGAAACCGGAGCUAAUACCGGAUAACAUGUUGAACCGCAUGGUUCAACAGUGAAAGACGGUCUUGCUGUCACUUAUAGAUGGAUCCGCGCCGCAUUAGCUAGUUGGUAAGGUAACGGCUUACCAAGGCAACGAUGCGUAGCCGACCUGAGAGGGUGAUCGGCCACACUGGAACUGAGACACGGUCCAGACUCCUACGGGAGGCAGCAGUAGGGAAUCUUCCGCAAUGGGCGAAAGCCUGACGGAGCAACGCCGCGUGAGUGAAGAAGGUCUUUGGAUCGUAAAACUCUGUUAUUAGGGAAGAACAAAUGUGUAAGUAACUAUGCACGUCUUGACGGUACCUAAUCAGAAAGCCACGGCUAACUACGUG
Molecule: ribosomal RNA, 497 nt
Filed under: uncultured bacterium
Lineage: Bacteria
Description: partial 16S ribosomal RNA
Rfam family: Bacterial small subunit ribosomal RNA
Source: RNAcentral